UUGGAAAUGAGAAAAUAUACUAAAAAGAAAAUUGAGUAUAUUUUGUUUAUUCUUUUGUCAACAAAAAGAAAGCAUUUUUAUUUUUUUAAUUGAAUUGAGUAAGGUCAAUAGAAGAAUUCCUAUUCUACUUAUUCUAAGAGCGGAGCGAAUUUCAUUUCAUAUCGAUUAACUUAAUGGGUAAUGGAAUUCAUUAAUUUGAUUUUCAAAAUGAGUCAAUUUUUUUAGUCAAGUCGAUUCAGAUUAUUCCAACGUUUUAUUACUUAUUUUUUUUCGCACAAAAAAACCUUUUGAGUUCCCGGUAAAAAGAGAUUUCCCUAAGGAAAAUGCUUUUAACACUGUCUCGUAUCCUUUCCUUUUCCAAAUAUUUUUACGAAUAUGCUUUUUUGAUGCAGAAGUACUUUUUUUUGGAACUGCUAUUGAAAUACAAAUUAAGAGAUUAGUCAUUGUUAUAGCCGAAUGCGAAAGACAUCUAUUAUUCAAAAUGAAUCCGUAGUUUCCUAUUCAUUAGGAAUUUAUUUUCU
This 521-nucleotide long non-coding RNA is filed under the name Olea europaea subsp. europaea. The record is from RNAcentral. Lineage: Eukaryota; Viridiplantae; Streptophyta; Magnoliopsida; Lamiales; Oleaceae.